GGACAAUCCAGUUCCAGGCCAUUUCUUGGCUUACGUGGUAUUAAAAAUAAUAAAAUAAUAAAAUAAUAAAAAUAAUAAAAGGUCAAAAAUUCUAGAAACUUAAAAAAUCCAACAAAAUUGCUUUCCCCAAUUGGAAACCCACCACCCACAGAAUACGUUUCGGCGAAAUCAAAAUCCACACCUCACCAUCUCCAGUUGCAUGUAAAUCGGAAGUACACCGUUCCUCUGACAGCACUUCCAUCUACUAUUUUUCGCCUUUUGAAGAUUUUGGAUCUUCAGACGCAUCUCAGUCGACAUUCUUGCCUCCAGUUCAAGUACUCUUACAUCCAUGGUUUCGCCGUCUCAUGCUAGAGCAUCUCCGGCUGGUAGCUAAAUAGCACCAGAUUUAUUGACCUGGAGGAGUUGAAAUUUUGUCAUUUUUGUUGGAGAAUUUUAGCCUAGAUCGUUGAGAAUCAAUGUUUACUUCUAUUUUUUUUUCACAUGUAUCUUCGAUAUUUAUUUUAGCCUAGUUCAUUGAGAAUCAAUAUUUAUCUGUUUUUAGCCUAGUUCAUUG
RNAcentral lists this long non-coding RNA (553 nucleotides) under Olea europaea subsp. europaea. The record is from RNAcentral. Lineage: Eukaryota; Viridiplantae; Streptophyta; Magnoliopsida; Lamiales; Oleaceae.